CCUACGGGUGGCAGCAGUAGGGAAUUUUCCACAAUGGGCGAAAGCCUGAUGGAGCAACGCCGCGUGGGUGAAGACGGUCUUCGGAUCGUAAAACCCUGUUGUUAGAGAAGAAAGUGCGUGAGAGUAACUGUUCACGUUUCGACGGUAUCUAACCAGAAAGCCACGGCGAACUACGUGCCAGCAGCCGCGGUAAUACGUAGGUGGCAAGCGUUAUCCGGAUUUAUUGGGCGUAAAGGGAACGCAGGCGGUCUUUUAAGUCAGAUGUGAAAGCCUUCGGCUUAACCGGAGAAGUGCAUUGGAUACUGGGAGACUUGAGUGCAGAUGAGGUAGGUGGAAUUCCAGGUGUAGCGGUGAAAUGCUUAGAUAUAAGGAAGAACACCAAUGGCGAAGGCGGCUCUCUAGUCUGUAACUGACGCUGAGGUUCGAAAGCGUGGGUAGCAAACAGGAUUAGAUACCCUAGUAGUC
Molecule: ribosomal RNA, 465 nt
Filed under: uncultured bacterium
Lineage: Bacteria
Description: partial 16S ribosomal RNA
Rfam family: Bacterial small subunit ribosomal RNA
Source: RNAcentral